This 439-nucleotide ribosomal RNA is filed under the name uncultured bacterium. RNAcentral describes it as "bacterial SSU rRNA". It matches the Rfam family "Bacterial small subunit ribosomal RNA", at positions 958 to 1398 of the family's 1533-position model. The record is from RNAcentral.
AACGCGAAGAACCUUACCAAGGUUUGACAUGCAGGGAAAAGCCGUAGAGAUACGGUGUCCGUAAGGGUCCUGCACAGGUGGUGCAUGGCUGUCGUCAGCUCGUGUCGUGAGAUGUUGGGUUAAGUCCCGCAACGAGCGCAACCCUCGUCCUAUGUUGCCAGCGGGUAAUGCCGGGGACUCAUAGGAGACUGCCGGGGUCAACUCGGAGGAAGGUGGGGAUGACGUCAAGUCCUCAUGCCCCUUAUGUCUUGGGCUGCAAACAUGCUACAAUGGCCGGUACAAAGGGUUGCGAGACCGCAAGGUGGAGCGAAUCCCAAAAAGCCGGUCUCAGUUCGGAUUGGGGUCUGCAACUCGACCCCAUGAAGUCGGAGUCGCUAGUAAUCGCGAAUCAGCAACGUCGCGGUGAAUACGUUCCCGGGCCUUGUACACACCGUACGUC